GUAGGUGUAGCUCAGUGGUAGAGCUCUUGGCUAGCAUGAGUUCCUGGGUUCAGUUCCCAGUAAACACA
This 68-nucleotide transfer RNA is filed under the name Heterocephalus glaber (naked mole-rat). It matches the Rfam family "tRNA". From Rfam's summary of the family: Transfer RNA (tRNA) molecules are approximately 80 nucleotides in length. Their secondary structure includes four short double-helical elements and three loops (D, anti-codon, and T loops). Further hydrogen bonds mediate the characteristic L-shaped molecular structure. tRNAs have two regions of fundamental functional importance: the anti-codon, which is responsible for specific mRNA codon recognition, and the 3' end, to which the tRNAs corresponding amino acid is attached (by aminoacyl-tRNA synthetases). tRNAs cope with the degeneracy of the genetic code in two manners: having more than one tRNA (with a specific anti-codon) for a particular amino acid; and 'wobble' base-pairing, i.e. permitting non-standard base-pairing at the 3rd anti-codon position. Lineage: Eukaryota; Metazoa; Chordata; Mammalia; Rodentia; Bathyergidae. The record is from Rfam by way of RNAcentral.